GACAGAGGGUGCAAACGUUGCUCGGAAUUACUGGGCGUAAAGCGCGUGUAGGCGGGUCGGUAUGUCGGACGUGAAAUCCCUAGGCUCAACCUAGGAACUGCGCUCGAAACUGCCGGUCUUGAGUGGUGGAGAGGGAAGUGGAAUUCCUGGUGUAGAGGUGAAAUUCGUAGAUAUCAGGAGGAACACCAGUGGCGAAGGCGGCUGACUGGUCCGGUUCUGACGCUGAGGCGCGAAAGCGUGGGGAGCAAACAGG
RNAcentral lists this ribosomal RNA (253 nucleotides) under uncultured bacterium. RNAcentral describes it as "partial 16S ribosomal RNA". It matches the Rfam family "Bacterial small subunit ribosomal RNA", at positions 524 to 776 of the family's 1533-position model. The record is from RNAcentral.